GAUGAACGCUGGCGGCGUGCCUAAUACAUGCAAGUCGAGCGAACGGACGAGAAGCUUGCUUUUCUGAUGUUAGCGGCGGACGGGUGAGUAACACGUGGAUAACCUACCUAUAAGACUGGGAUAACUUCGGGAAACCGGAGCUAAUACCGGAUAAUAUUUUGAACCGCAUGGUUCAAAAGUGAAAGACGGUCUUGCUGUCACUUAUAGAUGGAUCCGCGCUGCAUUAGCUAGUUGGUAAGGUAACGGCUUACCAAGGCAACGAUGCAUAGCCGACCUGAGAGGGUGAUCGGCCACACUGGAACUGAGACACGGUCCAGACUCCUACGGGAGGCAGCAGUAGGGAAUCUUCCGCAAUGGGCGAAAGCCUGACGGAGCAACGCCGCGUGAGUGAUGAAGGUCUUCGGAUCGUAACACUCUGUUAUUAGGGAAGAACAUAUGUGUAAGUAACUGUGCACAUCUUGACGGUACCUAAUCAGAAAGCCACGGCUAACUACGUG
Molecule: ribosomal RNA, 497 nt
Filed under: uncultured bacterium
Lineage: Bacteria
Description: partial 16S ribosomal RNA
Rfam family: Bacterial small subunit ribosomal RNA
Source: RNAcentral